UAAAUUCCUGAUAAUACAUAACAGUUUCUUAACAGAACAUCAGAGUAUUGCAACACUUUAUUAAGAGUAUUGGCUUUGAAUUAGUAGCUGAAGUAACAAUUGCAAGAAGCCAGAUUAGGUGUACUGCAUAAUACUCAUACUUGAUUUAUUGACAUUACUUAGCAAUUUAUUGGACAAAAGUCAAACUUUUGUUUUUUAUUAAGCACAUUCCACAGUACAAAGCUGUCAUGAAUAAUAUCUGUACAAUUUAACAGUUUCAAUAGCUGUUCAGACACAAAUUUAUUUCAAACAGAUAAUUGGCAAACAUAAUUAAUUACAAGUUAGAAUUAGACUAUCCCAGUGCUUUAAAACAUUAAGAUAGUAGUAAUUUACAGUUGCUUGAUUAUGGUUAGCAAAAUAAAGUCCAGAGUAUGGCUGGGAAUUACUACUGUAAUCCCAGAAAGUCAGAAUUCCUUGGGUGCCAAAGUCCCCUGCGAUAAUUUAGUAGGCACAAUUCAAAGGUUGUGUGCAUAUUCAAAGGCCAUGGUUUCCCAAGGAACAAGAGGAACUUCUAUAUUAAACAUGCAAAAACAAAAAAAAAUCCAUUCGUUCAGAAAAAUCGCCUCUGGCCCUCCCCCCUUUCCCCUGGGCUUUCCUAGCCAGUUUGACAUAAAAGCUGUAACAUGAAGAGCAGUCAAAGUCAAGUCACUCUCACAACCACUGUCAAGCUUACAGCAUCCACCUUAUGAAUGGAGGUUUAAUUAUUACACUUUUGAGACUCAACCUUGCAAAAACAGAAAUUAGGAAGAUGUCAGCAAGGAUACAUUUAAGAAAAAUUAAAAAGGCAAAAGAAAAACUUAAAAGCAAAGCCAAUUUAACAAACCACAUACACACACAUUGAUCCCCACACCCUUCUCAAUGCAAAGGACGGACAGAGCCCAGGGGCCUUUCCUAGGAAUAGAGUGUGCUUCUUCUGGAAGAGGGUGUGUUCACAGGAGGUGGCUUAUUGGUCCUUUAAAAUGGGAUUGACAUUCCUUGAUCUUUGGAAGCAAUGGUGAGGAGCAAAUCAAAACCUAAUACUUAAGGAGGAAAAAGGAAUGUUGACCAAAUAGCAACAUCCUUCCCAUGCAUGAUCAAAGUAACAGUGCUAUUCUAGGCUCAGGCUGCAGAGCACUUGAGAGCUUUGAGAGCCUGCAGGGGCCAGAGAACAGAUAAGAGCAGAGCUGACUGGGAUGGGACUCCUGGGCCUGGGCUUGGCCCCACUCAGGAGAGCCCUGCCCUUUACACGGCGACCCUCCAGAGCAGCCUGAUCUGAGCUACAGGCUCCAGCACAACAUUGGGCCCUGUAGUCCCUGACAGGGCCAGGCCAGGAACUCCAGAGGGGGAGGCCCUGUCUAUAGGGCCAUCUCAUUCUUCUCUUCUCAGGGUUACUACUGCACAGAAUGAUGGCUUUUGACAAAGAAGCCGAAUGAAUACUAUGGGAAGUGACCACUAGCACUCAGGAGUAUUUAUGAGGAAAAUAACAACAAAAAAUUUUAAGGUACCUCUCUAUUGCAUAUCCUACACAACAAAUAAAACAUUUCUGUAUUAAUCUUUAGAAGUUAGAUUUUAAAACAAGAUUCCCAUUAAAAACAACACACACACACACACAGUGACAGUGACAAAAUAAAAACACCAUAUGAAUACUGCAGGAAGGGUUCUAGGUCAUCCACAUCAACCCUGGUAACAGGUUCUUGAGCCCAGCCCAUGGCUAAGUGCGAACACACUCUAUAUUAGUGUCUCAGGCACAGGGGGCCUGACUCCAGCAACCUUGAGGUUAAACUGUUAUGUACAUUAUAUCUACAUGCGGAUACAGUAUUUUAAAUUAGGAGGCAAGCACAUGGAUAAAGGUGUUACUCUACCAAAUAUCAGGAAAUGGUUGGGAGCAGAGAACAGUUAAUAAAAGAGCUAUAUUACCUGUGGAGAAAUAAUAUAACUGGCUGAUAGUUCUUUAAAUUAAAAGAAACUAGUACAGAAAGAAAGUGUAAUCCAAAAAAUAUUACUAAAACAAUCCAGAGAGAUUUUCCCAUUGUCCACCAUGUAUAUUCCUAAUACAAGUCAAAAUUCAUAACGACUUGGACAGUCAAAAGGAGAAUGCUAACUUCUGAAAGGAAAGCCCUGGACAUUCUGGGUAGGUGUUUGGCACCCAAAAUUUCACUGAAGAAGAAUGUUGCUUCUGAAUAUCAGACCAAAGUGCAAAGCAUUAUAAAUUAGAGGCCAAGUCUUCUCUUGAUGGUCGAUUUACUUCUGUAAAACAGACUGUUACGUCCCUUUAUGUGAACAAUUUACGUCUGAAGCAUUAGAUUUUUUUUUUCUCGGAUGCGGGUAGGAAGUGGGCUUCUGUUCUACUGGAAGUUGGUGAGGCUAAAGUAUCCUUCUCAAAGUAGAGCCGGGACCAGAGGUGAGAAAUGUCGAGUGAGGCUGCUUUGCAUCUACCCAGCGUCUAGAACCAAUUUCAGCUUCUUAACUCAGCUGUGGACGAACUCCCUUAGGCAUUUGGUAGCCAUGUAGCCAGUAGUUCAAGACUAGGAAACCCUAGGGGGAAAGGGGAGAG
Long non-coding RNA from Heterocephalus glaber (naked mole-rat), 2572 nucleotides. NCBI's taxonomy places the organism in Eukaryota, Metazoa, Chordata, Mammalia, Rodentia, Bathyergidae. The record is from Ensembl.